AACGAACGCUGGCGGCGUGCUUAACACAUGCAAGUCGAACGGAAUUAGGGGCUUGCUCCUAAUUUAGUGGCGCACGGGUGAGUAACGCGUGGAUAACCUACCCUGGUAUCUGGGAUAACAUCUCGAAAGGGGUGCUAAUACCGGAUAAGCCCACGGUCUCUUCGGGGAUUGCGGGAAAAGAUGGCCUCUAUUUAUAAGCUAUCGUAUCAGGAUGGGUCCGCGUACCAUUAGCUAGUUGGUGGUGUAAUGGACCACCAAGGCGACGAUGGUUAGCUGGUCUGAGAGGAUGAUCAGCCACACUGGAACUGAGACACGGUCCAGACUCCUACGGGAGGCAGCAGUGGGGAAUUUUGCGCAAUGGGGGAAACCCUGACGCAGCAACGCCGCGUGAGUGAUGAAGGCCUUCGGGUCGUAAAGCUCUGUCAGUGGGGAAGAAGUGUAUGGGUGCUAAUACCAUCUAUACUUGACGGUACCCACAAAGGAAGCACCGGCUAACUCCGUGCCAGCAGCCGCGGUAAUACGGAGGGUGCAAGCGUUGUUCGGAUUUAUUGGGCGUAAAGCGCGUGUAGGCGGUCUUUUAAGUCUGAUGUGAAAGCCCCGGGCUCAACCCGGGAAGUGCAUUGGAAACUGGGAGACUUGAAUACGGGAGAGGGUAGUGGAAUUCCUAGUGUAGGAGUGAAAUCCGUAGAUAUUAGGAGGAACACCGGUGGCGAAGGCGGCUACCUGGACCGAUAUUGACGCUGAGACGCGAAAGCGUGGGGAGCAAACAGGAUUAGAUACCCUGGUAGUCCACGCCGUAAACGAUGAGUACUAGGUGUUGCGGGUAUUGACCCCUGCAGUGCCGCAGCUAACGCAUUAAGUACUCCGCCUGGGAAGUACGGUCGCAAGACUA
Molecule: ribosomal RNA, 892 nt
Filed under: uncultured bacterium
Lineage: Bacteria
Description: bacterial SSU rRNA
Rfam family: Bacterial small subunit ribosomal RNA
Source: RNAcentral